This 759-nucleotide ribosomal RNA is filed under the name uncultured bacterium. Its description in RNAcentral is "bacterial SSU rRNA". It matches the Rfam family "Bacterial small subunit ribosomal RNA", at positions 576 to 1333 of the family's 1533-position model. The record is from RNAcentral.
UGGUUUGUCGCGUUGUUCGUGAAAUCUCACGGCUUAACUGUGAGCGUGCGGGCGAUACGGGCAGACUUGAGUACUGCAGGGGAGACUGGAAUUCCUGGUGUAGCGGUGGAAUGCGCAGAUAUCAGGAGGAACACCGGUGGCGAAGGCGGGUCUCUGGGCAGUAACUGACGCUGAGGAGCGAAAGCGUGGGGAGCGAACAGGAUUAGAUACCCUGGUAGUCCACGCCGUAAACGGUGGGUACUAGGUGUGGGUUUCCUUCCUUGGGAUCCGUGCCGUAGCUAACGCAUUAAGUACCCCGCCUGGGGAGUACGGCCGCAAGGCUAAAACUCAAAGAAAUUGACGGGGGCCCGCACAAGCGGCGGAGCAUGUGGAUUAAUUCGAUGCAACGCGAAGAACCUUACCUGGGUUUGACAUGCACAGGACGCCGGCAGAGAUGUCGGUUCCCUUGUGGCCUGUGUGCAGGUGGUGCAUGGCUGUCGUCAGCUCGUGUCGUGAGAUGUUGGGUUAAGUCCCGCAACGAGCGCAACCCUUGUCUCAUGUUGCCAGCGGGUAAUGCCGGGGACUCGUGAGAGACUGCCGGGGUCAACUCGGAGGAAGGUGGGGAUGACGUCAAGUCAUCAUGCCCCUUAUGUCCAGGGCUUCACACAUGCUACAAUGGCCGGUACAAAGGGCUGCGAUGCCGCGAGGUUAAGCGAAUCCUUUUAAAGCCGGUCUCGGUUCGGAUCGGGGUCUGCAACUCGACCCCGUGAAGUCGGAGUC